RNAcentral lists this ribosomal RNA (502 nucleotides) under swine fecal bacterium FPC62. Its description in RNAcentral is "bacterial SSU rRNA". It matches the Rfam family "Bacterial small subunit ribosomal RNA", at positions 7 to 502 of the family's 1533-position model. The record is from RNAcentral.
GAGAGUUUGAUUCUGGCUCAGGAUGAACGCUGGCGGCGUGCCUAAUACAUGCAAGUCGAACGAAUCUUCUUCGGAAGAUGAGUGGCGAACGGGUGAGUAAUACAUAGGUAACCUGCCCCUGUGCGGGGGAUAACAGGAGGAAACUCCUGCUAAUACCGCAUAGCCAUGAGCACCGCAUGGAGCUCAUGCCAAAUAUCCUUUAUGGGAUAGCGCAGGGAUGGACCUAUGGCGCAUUAGCUUGUUGGCGGGGCAACGGCCCACCAAGGCAACGAUGCGUAGCCGGCCUGAGAGGGCGGACGGCCACAUUGGGACUGAGACACGGCCCAGACUCCUACGGGAGGCAGCAGUAGGGAAUUUUCGGCAAUGGGGGAAACCCUGACCGAGCAACGCCGCGUGAGCGAAGAAGGCCUUCGGGUCGUAAAGCUCUGUUGUAAAGGAAGAACGUCGCAUGCAGGAAAUGGUGUGCGAGUGACGGUACUUUACCAGAAAGCCACGGCUAAGU